RNAcentral lists this ribosomal RNA (2699 nucleotides) under synthetic construct. RNAcentral describes it as "bacterial LSU rRNA". It matches the Rfam family "Bacterial large subunit ribosomal RNA". The record is from RNAcentral.
CCGAAUGGGGAAACCCACUGCUUCGGCAGUAUCCUGCAGUGAAUUCAUAGCUGCUGGAAGCGAACCCGGUGAACUGAAAUAUCUAAGUAACCGGAGGAAAAGAAAUCAACCGAGAUUCCCUAAGUAGUGACGAGCGAACGGGGAACAGCCCUUAAGCUGGAAUGGCUUUAGAAAAACAAUCUGGAAAGAUUGGCCAUAGAAGGUGAUAGCCCUGUAUUUAAAAGGGCCACUCCAGUGAAGACGAGUAGGGCGGGGCACGUGAAACCCUGUCUGAAUAUGGGGGGACCAUCCUCCAAGGCUAAAUACUCCUGACCGACCGAUAGUGAACCAGUACCGUGAGGGAAAGGCGAAAAGAACCCCGGAGAGGGGAGUGAAAUAGAUCCUGAAACCGUGUGCGUACAAGCAGUAGGAGCUCGCAAGAGUGACUGCGUACCUUUUGUAUAAUGGGUCAGCGACUUACUGUUCGUGGCAAGCUUAACCGUAUAGGGGAGGCGAAGGGAAACCGAGUCUGAUAAGGGCGCAUAGUCGCGGGCAGUAGACCCGAAACCGGGUGAUCUAGUCAUGGCCAGGGUGAAGGUGCCGUAACAGGUACUGGAGGCCCGAACCCACGUCUGUUGCAAAAGACGGGGAUGAGCUGUGAUUAGGAGUGAAAAGCUAAUCGAACCCGGAGAUAGCUGGUUCUCCUCGAAAGCUAUUUAGGUAGCGCCUCGGACGAAUACUACUGGGGGUAGAGCACUGUUAUGGCUAGGGGGUCAUCGCGACUUACCAAACCAUUGCAAACUCCGAAUACCAGUACGUACUAUCCGGGAGACACACGGCGGGUGCUAACGUCCGUCGUGAAAAGGGAAACAACCCAGACCCACAGCUAAGGUCCCAAAUUCACUGCUAAGUGGAAAACGAUGUGGAAAGGCAUAGACAGCCAGGAGGUUGGCUUAGAAGCAGCCACCCUUUAAAGAAAGCGUAAUAGCUCACUGGUCGAGUCGGUCUGCGCGGAAGAUUUAACGGGGCUAAGCAGUGAACCGAAGCUUGGGGUGCAUAAAACUUGUUUUAUGCGCGGUAGAGGAGCGUUCCGUAAGCCUGCGAAGGUGGAUUGAGAAGUCUGCUGGAGGUAUCGGAAGUGCGAAUGCUGACAUGAGUAACGAUAAUGCGGGUGAAAAGCCCGCACGCCGAAAGCCCAAGGUUUCCUUGCGCAACGUUAAUCGACGCAGGGUUAGUCGGUCCCUAAGGCGAGGGCGAAAGCCGUAGUCGAUGGGAAGCAGGUUAAUAUUCCUGCACCUCGCGUGAGUGCGAUGGAGGGACGGAGAAGGUUAGGUGUACCGGGCGUUGGUUGUCCCGGGGAAAGGCGGUAGGUUUGGAUCUUUGGCAAAUCCGGGAUCCUUUAAGACCGAGCACCGAGACGAGCCUUUAUGGCGAAGUCACUGAUACCACGCUUCCAGGAAAAGCUCCUAAGCUUCAGCUCACGAAGACCGUACCGUAAACCGACACAGGUGGGUAGGAUGAGAAUUCUCAGGCGCUUGAGAGAACUCGGGUGAAGGAACUAGGCAACAUGGCACCGUAACUUCGGGAGAAGGUGCACCCUUUUUGGUGGCUCGUGCGAGCUAUAGCUGAAGAGGGUCGCAGAAACCAGGCCGCUGCGACUGUUUAUCAAAAACACAGCACUCUGCAAACACGAAAGUGGACGUAUAGGGUGUGACGCCUGCCCGGUGCUGGAAGGUUAAUUGAUGGGGUCAGCCGCAAGGCGAAGCUCUUGAUCGAAGCCCCAGUAAACGGCGGCCGUAACUAUAACGGUCCUAAGGUAGCGAAAUUCCUUGUCGGGUAAGUUCCGACCUGCACGAAUGGCGUAACGACAGCGGCGCUGUCUCCACCCGAGACUCAGUGAAAUUGAAAUCGCUGUGAAGAUGCAGCGUUCCCGUGGCAAGACGGAAAGACCCCGUGAACCUUUACUAUAGCUUUACACUGAACGUUGAGUUCGUCUGUGUAGGAUAGGUGGGAGGCUAUGAAACUGUGGCGCUAGCUGCAGUGGAGCCAUCCUUGAAAUACCACCCUGUCGUGCUUGACGUUCUAACCUAGAUCCGUUAUCCGGAUCAGGGACCGUGUAUGGUGGGUAGUUUGACUGGGGCGGUCUCCUCCUAAAGAGUAACGGAGGAGCACGAAGGUACGCUCAGCGCGGUCGGACAUCGCGCACUGUGUGCAAAGGCAUAAGCGUGCUUGACUGCAAGAUCGACGGAUCAAGCAGGUACGAAAGUAGGUCUUAGUGAUCCGGUGGUUCUGUAUGGAAGGGCCAUCGCUCAACGGAUAAAAGGUACUCCGGGGAUAACAGGCUGAUACCGCCCAAGAGUUCAUAUCGACGGCGGUGUUUGGCACCUCGAUGUCGGCUCAUCACAUCCUGGGGCUGUAGUCGGUCCCAAGGGUAUGGCUGUUCGCCAUUUAAAGUGGUACGCGAGCUGGGUUCAGAACGUCGUGAGACAGUUCGGUCCCUAUCUGCCAUGGGCGUUGGAAGUUUGAGAGGGGCUGCUCCUAGUACGAGAGGACCGGAGUGGACGAACCUCUGGUGUUCCGGUUGUCACGCCAGUGGCAUUGCCGGGUAGCUAUGUUCGGAAGCGAUAACCGCUGAAAGCAUCUAAGCGGGAAGCGCGCCUCAAGAUGAGACUUCCCGGGGCACAAGCCCCCUAAAGGAACCAUGUAGACUACGUGGUUGA